AAUGAACGCUGGCGGCGUGCUUAACACAUGCAAGUCGAACGAGAAAGGGAUUGCUUGCAAUCCUGAGUAGAGUGGCGCACGGGUGAGUAACACGUAGAUAAUCUACCUUCAAGCCCGGGAUAACUAUUCGAAAGGAUGGCUAAUACCGGAUGAAGUGUUUUGACAUAAGUUGAAACAUGAAAGAUUGCCUCUUCCUGAAAGCAAUUGUUUGGAGAUGAGUUUGCGGACCAUUAGUUCGUUGGUGGGGUAAAGGCCUACCAAGACUACGAUGGUUAGCUGGUCUGAGAGGAUGAUCAGCCACACUGGAACUGGUACACGGUCCAGACUCCUACGGGAGGCAGCAGUGAGGAAUUUUGCGCAAUGGGGGCAACCCUGACGCAGCAACGCCGCGUGAGUGAAGAAGGCCUUUGGGUCGUAAAGCUCUGUCGACAGGGAAGAAAUUGACAUGAUCCAAUAGGUGAUGCUAUUGACGGUACCUGUAGAGGAAGCACCGGCUAACUCCGU
RNAcentral lists this ribosomal RNA (504 nucleotides) under uncultured Desulfobacteraceae bacterium. Its description in RNAcentral is "bacterial SSU rRNA". It matches the Rfam family "Bacterial small subunit ribosomal RNA", at positions 29 to 506 of the family's 1533-position model. Lineage: Bacteria; Pseudomonadati; Thermodesulfobacteriota; Desulfobacteria; Desulfobacterales; Desulfobacteraceae. The record is from RNAcentral.